RNAcentral lists this ribosomal RNA (809 nucleotides) under uncultured bacterium. RNAcentral describes it as "bacterial SSU rRNA". It matches the Rfam family "Bacterial small subunit ribosomal RNA", at positions 8 to 810 of the family's 1533-position model. The record is from RNAcentral.
AGAGUUUGAUCCUGGCUCAGGAUGAACGCUGGCGGCAGGCUUAAUACAUGCAAGUCGAACGGUAACGACCGGUAGCAAUACUGGGGCGACGAGUGGCGCACGGGUGCGUAACGCGUAUGCAACCUACCCUCAACCGGGGCAUAACGCCGAGAAAUUGGCGCUAAUAUCCCAUGUGUAUAUGGAGUGGCAUCUCUUCAUAUAUAAAGAUCCGUUGGUUAAGGAUGGGCAUGCGUAACAUUAGCUAGUUGGCGGGGUAACGGCCCACCAAGGCGACGAUGUUUAGGGGUUCUGAGAGGAUUCACCCCCACACUGGAACUGAGACACGGUCCAGACUCCUACGGGAGGCAGCAGUAGGGAAUAUUGGGCAAUGGAGGCAACUCUGACCCAGCCAUGCCGCGUGAAGGAAGACGGCCCUAUGGGUUGUAAACUUCUUUUGCCGCAGAGUAACCGCGGGGACGAGUCCCUGCCUGAGAGUAUGCGGCGAAUAAGUAUCGGCUAACUCCGUGCCAGCAGCCGCGGUAAUACGGAGGAUACGAGCGUUAUCCGGAUUUAUUGGGUUUAAAGGGUGCGCAGGCGGACCGUUAAGUCAGGGGUGAAAAGUUGGGGCUCAACUCCAAUCGUGCCUUUGAUACUGGCGGACUAGAGUGCAGGGGACGUGACUGGAAUGUGAUGUGUAGCGGUGAAAUGCUUAGAUAUGUCACAGAACGCCGAUCGUGAAGACAGGUCACGAAUCUGCAACUGACGCUCAUGCACGAAAGCGUGGGGAUCAAACAGGAUUAGAUACCCUGGUAGUCCACACUGUAAACGAU